CGGCAUCGUGAUGGCUCACGAUUUGGCAUUGUCCUUGGCUGCUGCUGGUAACCCUCCCAGGGCCACCUGCUGAUGCUGCCUUGAAGACACCUGUCGCCUAUUGCACACCUUUGUGUGGCCGUGUUCGAACCCGCCCACUACUGUCUUACUUCACGGAAGCUUCUGCACGCGUUCACUCAAUCAGCUGAUCCUUUACCCCAUAGCACACGAGCCACAGGACUGCAGAUCCUUUUUCUAGAGCAGAUGCCUGUCAUUUACAAGGUGUCGGAGGGGACAGUGCUAUCCCCCACUCCCAACUCUCGAGAGGAUGCAACCAGAUGACACACACACCGUGUGCAGCCCAAGGCCAGGUGUCUACGAGAUGGCACUGGUACAUCAAGGAAAUAAGAAGCUUCUGAUGGACAUCAUUUUCCAUGAAAGCCUUUUGCUUCUCCUCCAAAUCUUAUCAUUAUACAUGGCUUCUCAGAUAUACACGAUAAUGGAAUCCGGCUGUCGGAGUCAGCCUGGUCUUGUCUGUGGAGCUGCUUGGUUUGAGGCCUGCAGGAAACCAAGCUCAAGGAGAAGGAGCAGUGGCGUGGGGAAGGUGUUCUGCAUGGCUGAAUCCGUGGGUCCUGAGCCCUCGAGCUCUGGACCACGUAGCAGAGCUUUGGGGAAUCACGGUGCUCUAUGGAGAUCCCUGAUGAGUGAACACCCUUCAGUAAGACCAGGAGAUGCCAACUUAAUUGUUUGUGUGAAAGAUACCAUCUGAAAUACAUAUGAUGUAGACAGUGCAUAAGAGAAAACAGAAAUACAGAGAAUAGAUGUGGACACUCUCUCAUCCCACGAGAGGGAAACAGUACCACUGUCACCGCUCACAGUGAAGGAGGGCCAUCGCUGGGCCAUGGGGUGGGACACACCGGGGGAAAUGAGGCACGCUGCUGGAAACACACCGCUAGCCAGUGCCAGGCACACGGCGACUGUCGAAUAAGUGGCUGAGGAAAGGGAGCCCCACGCCGAAUGCCGUUCCCAGUUCUCUGGGCAGAGGCUGGUCCCGACAAGUCAGGCUGGGAG
Molecule: long non-coding RNA, 1050 nt
Filed under: Fukomys damarensis (Damara mole-rat)
Lineage: Eukaryota; Metazoa; Chordata; Mammalia; Rodentia; Bathyergidae
Description: lncRNA (ENSFDAG00000031060.1)
Source: RNAcentral